CCCUUAGAUGUCCUGGGCCGCACGCGCGCUACACUGACAUGUUCAACAAGCCUCCUAGUUCGACAGGAUUUGGGAAAUCUUUGAACGCAUGUCGUGAUAGGGAUAGAUCAUUGCAAUUAUUGAUCUUGAACGAGGAAUUCCUAGUAAACGCGAGUCAUCAGCUCGCAUUGAUUACGUCCCUGCCCUUUGUACACACCGCCCGUCGCACCCACCGAUCGAAUGUUUCGGUGAAGAUUCCGGAUAGGACUUUUUUGAUUUAUUUCAAUUUUGUCUUAAAAGCUAUCUAAACCUCAACAUUUAGAGGAAGGUGAAGUCGUAACA
This 321-nucleotide ribosomal RNA is filed under the name uncultured eukaryote. RNAcentral describes it as "partial 18S ribosomal RNA". It matches the Rfam family "Eukaryotic small subunit ribosomal RNA", at positions 1470 to 1796 of the family's 1831-position model. The record is from RNAcentral.